UACGUAGGGUCCGAGCGUUGUCCGGAAUUAUUGGGCGUAAAGGGCUCGUAGGCGGUUUGUUACGUCGGGAGUGAAAACUCAGGGCUCAACCCUGAGCGUGCUUUCGAUACGGGCAGACUAGAGGUAUUCAGGGGAGAACGGAAUUCCUGGUGUAGCGGUGGAAUGCGCAGAUAUCAGGAGGAACACCGGUGGCGAAGGCGGGUCUCUGGGCAGUAACUGACGCUGAGGAGCGAAAGCGUGGGGAGCGAACAGG
This 253-nucleotide ribosomal RNA is filed under the name uncultured bacterium. RNAcentral's name for it is "partial 16S ribosomal RNA". It matches the Rfam family "Bacterial small subunit ribosomal RNA", at positions 524 to 776 of the family's 1533-position model. The record is from RNAcentral.